RNAcentral lists this ribosomal RNA (454 nucleotides) under uncultured bacterium. RNAcentral describes it as "bacterial SSU rRNA". It matches the Rfam family "Bacterial small subunit ribosomal RNA", at positions 340 to 786 of the family's 1533-position model. The record is from RNAcentral.
UACGGAAGGCAGCAGUGGGGAAUAUUGCACAAUGGGCGCAAGCCUGAUGCAGCCAUGCCGCGUGUAUGAAGAAGGCCUUCGGGUUGUAAAGUACUUUCAGUCGUGAGGAAGGUGUUAAGGUUAAUAACCUUAGCAAUUGACGUUAGCGACAGAAGAAGCACCGGCUAACUCCGUGCCAGCAGCCGCGGUAAUACGGAGGGUGCGAGCGUUAAUCGGAAUUACUGGGCGUAAAAGGGCACGCAGGCGGUUAAUUAAGUUGGAUGUGAAAUCCCCGGGCUUAACCUGGGAAUGGCAUUCAAGACUGGUUAGCUAGAGUCUUGUAGAGGGGGUAGAAUUCCAUGUGUAGCGGUGAAAUGCGUAGAGAUGUGGAGGAAUACCGGUGGCGAAAGGCGGCCCCUGGACAAAGACUGACGCUCAUGUGCGAAAGCGUGGGGAGCAAACAGGAUUAGAUACC